AUUGAACGCUGGCGGCAGGCCUAACACAUGCAAGUCGAGCGGAUGAAGGGAGCUUGCUCCUGGAUUCAGCGGCGGACUGGUGAGUAAUGCCUAGGAAUCUGCCUGGUAGUGGGGGAUAACGUCCGGAAACGGGCGCUAAUACCGCAUACGUCCUGAGGGAGAAAGUGGGGGAUCUUCGGACCUCACGCUAUCAGAUGAGCCUAGGUCGGAUUAGCUAGUUGGUGGGGUAAAGGCCUACCAAGGCGACGAUCCGUAACUGGUCUGAGAGGAUGAUCAGUCACACUGGAACUGAGACACGGUCCAGACUCCUACGGGAGGCAGCAGUGGGGAAUAUUGGACAAAGGGCGAAAGCCUGAUCCAGCCAUGCCGCGUGUGUGAAGAAGGUCUUCGGAUUGUAAAGCACUUUAAGUUGGGAGGAAGGGCAGUAAGUUAAUACCUUGCUGUUUUGACGUUACCAACAGAAUAAGCACCGGCUAACUUCGUG
This 484-nucleotide ribosomal RNA is filed under the name uncultured bacterium. RNAcentral's name for it is "partial 16S ribosomal RNA". It matches the Rfam family "Bacterial small subunit ribosomal RNA", at positions 30 to 507 of the family's 1533-position model. The record is from RNAcentral.